RNAcentral lists this ribosomal RNA (324 nucleotides) under uncultured eukaryote. RNAcentral's name for it is "partial 18S ribosomal RNA". It matches the Rfam family "Eukaryotic small subunit ribosomal RNA", at positions 1470 to 1796 of the family's 1831-position model. The record is from RNAcentral.
CCCUUAGAUGUUCUGGGCCGCACGCGUGCUACACUGAGUGGAUCAGCGGGUCAGGUUGCGCGAAAGCGUUUCCUAAUCUUUAAAUCCGCUCGUGAUGGGGAUUGACGGUUGCAAUUUUCUGUCAUGAACGAGGAAUACCUUGUAAGCGCGGGUCAUCAUCCCGCGCUGAAUACGUCCCUGCCCUUUGUACACACCGCCCGUCGCUCCUACCGAUUGAAUGAUCCGAUGAAUAUCAUGGAUUGAGAGUACGAAUGGGUUCGCUCAUUUCUGCUGCUCGAGAAGUGAAGUAAAUCUUAUCAUUUAGAGGAAGGAGAAGUCGUAACA